UCACCCCUCAAGCCCCCGGGCUUGGUGUUGGACGGUUUGGUCGAGGCCCCCUCGAUCCCUCCCAAAGACAAUGACGGCGGCCUGGUUGGACCCCCGGUACAUGGAGCUUCUUAACUGAGCACGUAUCGAUGUGGUCCCCGGGACCCGGUCUUCCUUCUCCCUCGCGGGAGGAGAAACCCCCUUUCUUCUAA
Molecule: unclassified non-coding RNA, 191 nt
Filed under: uncultured Capronia
Lineage: Eukaryota; Fungi; Ascomycota; Eurotiomycetes; Chaetothyriales; Herpotrichiellaceae
Description: sequence contains ITS2
Source: RNAcentral